GAGGAGCCAUGAGAAUGAGGCCGAGGCCCUCCGUGGGGAGAUCCAGAGCCUGAAGGAGGAGAACAACCGACAGCAGCAGCUGCUGGCCCAGAACCUGCAGCUGCCCCCAGAGGCCCGCAUUGAGGCCAGCCUGCAGCACGAGAUCACCCGGCUGACCAACGAAAACUUUAUUUUGAGGAAUUAUAUGCAGAUGACCCUAAGAAGUAUCAAUCAUAUCGGAUUUCCCUUUACAAACGGAUGAUGAUUUGAUGGAACAACUUGAAAAACAGGAUAAGACGGUCCGUAAACUGAAAAAACAACUGAAAGUAUUUGCCAAAAAAAUUGGCGAACUAGAAUGGGCCAGAUGGAGAACAUAUCCCCAGGACAGAUCAUUGAUGAAC
This 380-nucleotide long non-coding RNA is filed under the name Homo sapiens (human). RNAcentral describes it as "non-protein coding lnc-MYO5C-2:4". Lineage: Eukaryota; Metazoa; Chordata; Mammalia; Primates; Hominidae. The record is from RNAcentral.